CUCUACUCUUUAAAGCUAGAGUAUCAUAUCUGUUUUUUAAAACAUUAGGAGUAUUGCAGACUUGCAAUACAUUUCAGCCUUUGCUCAUGUCUUUGUUUCACGUGCGCAACAGAAAUAUUAAAGCAAAGAAGCCAGAGGAGUUUAAUGCAAAAAAAAAAAAGUUGGGGUUCUUUAGACUGUCACCCCCCAAAACAAAGGUUUAUUCAUUUACAUUUUUUGGUUAUCAUUCUAGUGGUCUUUGAGAAAUGCAACGUUACUUGCCACAUACUAUAACAUAGUCUGUUUCAGUUUUGAAAGCCUUUGGCUUAUCAGAGGCCUGCUUAGUUAAAGGGGCUUGCUAACGACCGUAACCACUAGAACAUAUAGCAGUGGUUAUAGUGCAAGGUGCACCUCCCAGUCUUGUUAAAUUGUUUCCAAUCAGUUUGACAAACACUUGUCACCUAAAGCCACAGCCCCCUUGCUAUUAAGGUAACGAGGAGUUUUACUUCCACACUAUCAUUAAUGUUUUGGCAGUCGUAAUGGGUUGUGAAAGCCAGGAGUGGCAUGGCACAUAAUUUCCAUUUUGUUUCCUUAACGUUUCCUUGCUUAUUUUUAACACACAUUUUGUGUAGGUUAAUAUAACGGUUGUCUAACUUAUUACUUUCUGAUAUCUAUAGCAUUGUUGAG
Pelobates cultripes (western spadefoot toad) is the source of this 666-nucleotide non-coding RNA. Lineage: Eukaryota; Metazoa; Chordata; Amphibia; Anura; Pelobatidae. The record is from the annotation of a GenBank genome assembly.